GUCCAGGGGCGGGAAAUCGAACCCACAACGUUCCGCUUACCGGGCAGAUGCCAUGUCCACUAGGCUACCCUGGA
This 74-nucleotide transfer RNA is filed under the name Cordylochernes scorpioides. RNAcentral describes it as "tRNA-Thr". Lineage: Eukaryota; Metazoa; Arthropoda; Arachnida; Pseudoscorpiones; Chernetidae. The record is from RNAcentral.